Molecule: long non-coding RNA, 1464 nt
Organism: Gasterosteus aculeatus aculeatus (three-spined stickleback)
Lineage: Eukaryota; Metazoa; Chordata; Actinopteri; Perciformes; Gasterosteidae
Source: Ensembl
UUUUUUUGAAUAUUUUUUUGAAUAUUUUUUUUUCACCAUCCAUCCUCCCACUGGUUCCCUAUGAAGAUCACUCCUUUUGUUUUCCUGGCAAUGUUGUAGAACGCAAGAUAUGUGGCAAACACAGGUUUCCUUCCCCCCUUAUCAAAUGUAAUACUCUUUGUAAUCAAACAUUCCUUUGAAUAUUUCUUGAAUAUUUUCAUGAAUAUUUCCGUGAAUAUUUCCGUGAAUGUUUCCGUGAAUAUUUUUUGAUUAUUUUUUUGAAUAUUUUUUUUUCACCAUCCAUCCUCCCACUGGUUCCCUAUGAAGAUCACUUCUUUUGUUUUCCUGGCAAUGUUGUAGAACGCAAGAUAUGUGGCAAACACAGGUUUCCUUUCCCCCUUAUCAAAUGUAAUACUCUUUGUAAUCAAACAUUCCUUCGAAUAUUUCUUGAAUAUUUUCAUAAAUAUUUCCCUGAAUAUUUCCCUGAAUAUUUUUUGAUUAUUUUUUUGAAUAUUAUUUUGAAUAUUUUUUUUCACCAUCCAUCCUCUCACUGGUUCCCGAUGAAGAUCACUCCUUUUGUUUUCCUGGCAAUAUUGUAGAACGCAAGAUAUGUGGCAAACACAGGUUUCCUUUCCCCCUUAUCAAAUGUAAUACUCUUUGUAAUCAAACAUUCCUUUGAAUAUUUCUUGAAUAUUUUCAUGAAUAUUUCUGUGAAUAUUUCCGUGAAUAUUUUUUGAUUAUUUUUUAUAAUAUUUUUUUUUCACCAUCCAUCCUCCCACUGGUUCCCUAUGAAGAUCACUCCUUUUGUUUUCCUGGCAAUGUUGUAGAACGCAAGAUAUGUGGCAAACACAGGUUUCCUUUCGCCUCUUAUCAAAUGUAGUACUCUUUGUAAUCAAAAAUUCUGUUGGAUAUUUCUUGGAAUAUUUUCAUAAAUAUUUCCCUGAAUAUUUCCCUGAAUAUUUUUUUGAUUAUUUUUUUGAAUAUUAUUUUGAAUAUUUUUUUUUCACCAUCCAUUCCUCUCACUGGGGUUCCCGAUGAAGAUCACUCCUUUUGUUUUCCUGGCAAUAUUGUAGAAACGCAAGAUAUGUGGCAAACACAGGUUUCCUUCCCCCCUUAUCAAAUGUAAUACUCUUUGUAAUCAAACAUUCCUUCGAAUAUUUCUUAAAUAUUUUCAUGAAUAUUUCCGUGAAUAUUUCCGUAAAUAUGUUUUGAUUAUUUUUUUGAAUAUUUAUUUGAAUAUUUUUUUGAAUAUUUUUUUUAUAAUAUUUUUUUUUCACCAUCCAUCCUCCCACUGGUUCCCUAUGAAGAUAACUCCUUUUGUUUUCCUGGCUAUGUUGUAGAACACAAGAUAUGUGGCAAACACAGGUUUCCUUCCCCCCUUAUAGAAUGUAAUACUCUUUGUAAUCAAUCAUUCUGUCGAAUAUUUCUUGAAUAUUUUCAUGAAUCACAUUCUUCUUGUGCUGCAAAACCACACAAGUUCAAAAC